GACGAACGCUGGCGGCGUGCUUAAUACAUGCAAGUCGAACGGACAGGCCCUGCUCUUGCUCCGUGCUCGUUAGGCGAACGGGUGAGUAACACGUGUGUAACCUGUCCCUGACUUUCGGAUAACUUUACGAAACUCGGGCUAAUACCCGAUAGGAGCUCCUGCUGCAUGGUGGGGGUUGGUAAGUUUCGGCGGUUGGGGCUGGACUCGCGGCUUAUCCGCUUGUUGGUGGGGUAGUGGCAUACCAAGGCUUCGAAGGGUAGCCGGCAUGAGCGGGUGACCGGCGACCAUGGGACUGCGAGACGGCGCAGACGCGAACGGGAGGCAGCAGGGGGAAAUCUUGCGGAGCGAGGGGGAGCGUGAGGCAGCAACGCUGCGAGCGGAAAGCCGGCCUUCGGGGUGUAAACCGCUUUGUCCUGUGACAUGGAGGGAGUGACGGUAAUGGGUAAAGAAGCAACGGCUAACUACGUG
Molecule: ribosomal RNA, 468 nt
Filed under: uncultured bacterium
Lineage: Bacteria
Description: partial 16S ribosomal RNA
Rfam family: Bacterial small subunit ribosomal RNA
Source: RNAcentral